RNAcentral lists this ribosomal RNA (468 nucleotides) under uncultured bacterium. RNAcentral describes it as "partial 16S ribosomal RNA". It matches the Rfam family "Bacterial small subunit ribosomal RNA", at positions 28 to 507 of the family's 1533-position model. The record is from RNAcentral.
GACGAACGCUGGCGGCGUGCUUAACACAUGCAAGUCGAACGGAAAGGCCCUGCUUUUGUGGGGUGCUCGAAUGGCGAACGGGUGAGUAACACGUGAGUAACCUGCCCUUGACUUUGGGAUAACUUCAGGAAACUGGGGCUUAUACCGGAUAGGAGCUCCUGCUGCCUGGUUGGGGUUGGAAAGUUUCGGCGGUUGGGGAUGGACUCGCGGCUUAUCAGCUUGUUGGGGGGGUAGUGGCUUACCAAGGCUUUGACGGGUAGCCGGCCUGAGAGGGUGACCGGCCACAUUGGGACUGAGAUAAGGCCCAGACUCCUACGGGAGGCAGCAGUGGGGAAUAUUGCACAAUGGGCGGAAGCCUGAUGCAGCAACGCCGCGUGCGGGAUGACGGCCUUCGGGUUGUAAACCGCUUUCGCCUGUGACGAAGCGUGAGUGACGGUAAUGGGUAAAGAAGCACCGGCUAACUACGUG